GAAUAACGCAGCGCGGUCGCAUCGUUCAGUGCUACCAAUAUUCUUCUAUACCGUUUCCUGUCAAGAAUUUUUAAUCAUUUUGUAGAAUAAUAAUUUGCGCCUAAUCAAAAAUAUAAAUUUGUAUACAGUUUUAUUUUAUACAAGCACUAGCUCAAUGUGCAAUAUCUGUUUUUAUCUGACAUUUUGUCAUUCGAAAUGUAACAAAUUUUGUAUUCUUGGAAUAUAUGUAUAAGGAUAGUGUGACAAGUAUACAAAAGUGAUAUUGGAAACCAUUAUUUACAUAUUAGAAAGUAUUCAUUGAAAUCACGUAAUCAAAAUGGUAGACUUGAAAAAUAAUGUAAAUGAAGCACACGAUUCUAAUGAUGAGUCAAGGAUGAGAACUGAUAGUUGUGGAACUAUGCCAUCAACACCUUCAUCAUCAUCUGACUAUAUGACAGGGGAGGCAGAUGACAGUUCAGAUAGCAAAGCUGCCAUACCAUUUAGUUUAAAGUCAGUGGAAACUGCACUUUCAUUAUCUAAGAGUACAUGCGAAGAGGAUCUGAAGGAGAUGGUACAAAAAUGUAAACAAAUGGUAUUAGAAAGCGCAGAAUGCUCUGCUGAAAGAAAAUGGCUAGUUAGACGUUUAAUUGAAUUACGUUUAAGAGUGCAAGAAUUAAGAGAAACUUCGGAAGAAAACUUAUUAGAAACACAAGUAAUUCUUGGACAUCAUCUAGUACCACAAAAAUAUUAUAUUACAACUUCUGGAGCUGUAUAUUGUGAUCAUUGUAGUGGAGCUAUUUGGGCUAUGCUUCAGUCAUGGUAUAUGUGUAGCGAUUGCAAGUUCUGUUGCCAUUGGAAAUGUUUAAACAACAUAUGUAGAGUAUGCGUUCAUGUAGUUGCUAGCGAAGCAGGUGGUUAUACUCAUACAAAAGAUAUUUGUCCUGAGCAAGGCUUAUCAGGUCAAGGAUAUAGAUGUGCUGAAUGCAAAGUUCGAAUAACAUUCAAAUCAGCAUGGAUUGAACCACGUCUUUGUGACUACAGUGGAUUGUAUUACUGUCAAAGGUGCCAUUGGAAUACCGCAAUGGUAAUACCUGCAAGAGUAAUCAGAAACUGGGACAUGGAACCGCGACUUGUAUCUCGAGCAGCCGCACAACUUUUAACACUUUUAGAAGAACGUUCUGUUUUAGUACUAGAGGAAUUGAAUCCGAAAUUAUUUACCUUAGUCCCAGAUUUAUCUUUAGUAAAGAAAAUGCGGGAGGAAAUGCAAAUGAUGAAACGCUAUUUGGUUCUAUGCCCGGAAGCUAGUAACCAAGGGCUACCGUGGAAAGUUGGAAUACGUACUCACAUGAUUGAAAACUCGGGUAAUUAUUCGAUUAAAGAUCUCGUUGAUUUGAAUAAUGGAACACUUCUGGAAGAAAUACGUGCUGCAUACGAUGUUAUGCACGCUCACAUUACAGAACAAUGCGAAUUGUGCAAAGCAAGGGGUCAUUUAUGUGAAUUGUGUGGUAACGAUGAAAUUAUAUAUCCAUGGGACGCAAGUUCCAUAACUUGCCAUCAAUGUUCAGCUGUUUAUCAUCGAGCUUGUUGGUCGAAACGAAAUCACUGUUGCCCACGAUGUACAAGGCUUCAAAAGCGACGCGCCUUGCAACAUCAACAAAAUUUCCAUACAGAUGACAGUCUUACAGAGGACGGGCUGAAUACCAGUGAAUCGUUGAGCGAUACAACAUAAACACUACAUAAUUUUGUAUUAUAUUCAUCCUUUCAGUCGCUGACAAUCUUACGUUCUUCGUGCUUAUUCCGCGAGUUCAUUAUACGUUCUGAACUGUACAUAUUACUUGUGUGCAAGUGUUUUGUAAAAUAAGAGUUACAAUUUUUUUCAAGUAACUAAAUUGGAAUUUCCGAAUGCGUGUUAUCAUCUAAGACCUCUGCCUUUAAAAAGAUCUAAAAA
RNA transcript from Osmia bicornis bicornis, 1927 nucleotides. It is a transcript of the gene named differentially expressed in FDCP 8 homolog, with no coding region annotated. The transcript has 7 exons. The record is from RefSeq and is a predicted model, not a curated record. NCBI's taxonomy places the organism in Eukaryota, Metazoa, Arthropoda, Insecta, Hymenoptera, Megachilidae.